AGGAAUUUAGGUUAAAUAG
RNAcentral lists this transfer RNA (19 nucleotides) under Capra hircus (goat). RNAcentral's name for it is "partial tRNA-Trp". Lineage: Eukaryota; Metazoa; Chordata; Mammalia; Artiodactyla; Bovidae. The record is from RNAcentral.